This 468-nucleotide ribosomal RNA is filed under the name uncultured bacterium. Its description in RNAcentral is "partial 16S ribosomal RNA". It matches the Rfam family "Bacterial small subunit ribosomal RNA", at positions 28 to 507 of the family's 1533-position model. The record is from RNAcentral.
GACGAACGCUGGCGGCGUGCUUAACACAUGCAAGUCGAACGGAAAGGCCCUGCUUUUGUGGGGUGCUCGAGUGGCGAACGGGUGAGUAACACGUGAGUAACCUGCCCUUUACUUUGGGAUAACUUCAGGAAACUGGGGCUAAUACCGGAUAUGAGCUCCUGCUGCAUGGUGGGGUUUGGAAAGUUUCGGCGGUUGGGGAUGGACUCGCGGCUUAUCAGCUUGUUGGUGGGGUAGUGGCUUACCAAGGCUUUGACGGGUAGCCGGCCUGAGAGGGUGACCGGCCACAUUGGGACUGAGAUACGGCCCAGACUCCUACGGGAGGCAGCAGUGGGGAAUAUUGCACAAUGGGCGGAAGCCUGAUGCAGCAACGCCGCGUGCGGGAUGACGGCCUUCGGGUUGUAAACCGCUUUCGCCUGUGACGAAGCGUGAGUGACGGUAAUGGGUAAAGAAGCACCGGCUAACUACGUG